AUACGUAGGGCGAGAGCGUUGUCCGGAAUUACUGGGUGUCAAGGGCGCGUAGGCGGGACUGCAAGUUAGAUGUGAAAUGCCGGGGCUCAACCCCGGAGCUGCAUUUGAAACUGCGGUUAUUGAGUGAGGAAGAGGUAAGCGGAAUUCCUAUUGUAGCGGUGAAAUGCGUAGAUAUUAGGAGGAACAUCGGUGGCGAAGGCGGCUUACUGGGCCUUUACUGACGCUGAGGCACGAAAGCGUGGGUAGCAAACAGGAUUAGAUACCCUGGUAGUCCACGCUGUAAACGAUGAUGACUAGGUGUGGGGGGACUGAACCCUUCCGUGCCGCAGUUAACACAAUAAGUCAUCCACCUGGGGAGUACGGCCGCAAGGUUGAAACUCAAAUGAAUUGACGGGG
Molecule: ribosomal RNA, 396 nt
Filed under: uncultured bacterium
Lineage: Bacteria
Description: partial 16S ribosomal RNA
Rfam family: Bacterial small subunit ribosomal RNA
Source: RNAcentral